AUAAGCACUUGAUUUGAUAGCAUGUAUACUUGGUAUAAUACAGAAAAGAGUAACAUGGCCCCUGCGCAAGAAUGAAAAGUAAAGUUAUGAAAUUCAUAUUUUU
Vombatus ursinus (common wombat) is the source of this 103-nucleotide small nuclear RNA. The record is from Ensembl. Lineage: Eukaryota; Metazoa; Chordata; Mammalia; Diprotodontia; Vombatidae.